This 605-nucleotide small RNA is filed under the name Pongo abelii (Sumatran orangutan). Its description in RNAcentral is "retained intron". Lineage: Eukaryota; Metazoa; Chordata; Mammalia; Primates; Hominidae. The record is from RNAcentral.
GUCCUCACGCCCCUCUUCAAGGUGGGCAAGUUCCUGAGCGCUGAGGAGUAUCAGCAGAAGAUUAUCCCUGUGGUGGUCAAGAUGUUCUCAUCCACUGACCGGGCCAUGCGCAUCCGCCUCCUGCAGCAGAUGGAGCAGUUCAUCCAGUACCUUGACGAGCCAACGGUCAACACCCAGAUCUUCCCCCACGUCGUACAUGGCUUCCUGGACACCAACCCCGCCAUCCGGGAGCAGACGGUCAAGGUGGGUGUGGCCAGGCCCAGAGUGGCUACCCCUGGUUUUCCAAGGCUUGGAGGGGCUCACCCUAGACACAGAGGUCUUGGCUUUGGCCCAUGGGUCCAAGCAGGCACUGUCCUUGCUGUGUGGGUUCAGGCCGUGGGUGCAGCUUGGCAGCUGGCGGGGGAGCACGUCCUCCAUUCAGCAGACAACAAGCAUCUGCCUGUUCCUGGCCCAAGCCCCAUGCUGGGAGGCAGCGUGCAUGAGGUGCCCAGCCCCCUGCACUCAUGGAGCUUCCUUUCCAGGGCACAGAGAGUGGGCUUGCCAGACAAUACAACAGAAUUAGAAAAUAUGUAUUGUUGGCUGAUCACGGUGGCUCAUGCCCGUAA